This 157-nucleotide ribosomal RNA is filed under the name Entoleuca mammata. RNAcentral describes it as "5.8S ribosomal RNA". It matches the Rfam family "5.8S ribosomal RNA". Rfam says of the family: 5.8S ribosomal RNA (5.8S rRNA) is a component of the large subunit of the eukaryotic ribosome. It is transcribed by RNA polymerase I as part of the 45S precursor that also contains 18S and 28S rRNA. Lineage: Eukaryota; Fungi; Ascomycota; Sordariomycetes; Xylariales; Xylariaceae. The record is from RNAcentral.
AACUUUCAACAACGGAUCUCUUGGCUCUGGCAUCGAUGAAGAACGCAGCGAAAUGCGAUACGUAGUGUGAAUUGCAGAAUUCAGUGAAUCAUCGAAUCUUUGAACGCACAUUGCGCCCGCUAGUAUUUUAGCGGGCAUGCCUGUUCGAGCGUCAUUU